CCUACGGGUGGCAGCAGUGGGGGAUAUUGCACAAUGGGGGAAAGCCUGAUGCAGCGACGCCGCGUGUGGGAAGACGGUCCUCUGGAUUGUAAACCACUGUCCCCAGGGACGAAGAUGACGGUACCUGGGGAGGAAGCUCCGGCUAACUACGUGCCAACAGCCGCGGUAAUACGCAGGGAGCGAGCGUUGUCCGGAAGUACUGGGUGUACAGAGAGCGUAGGCGGGGAUGCAAGUUGGGUGUCAAAACUACGGGCUCAACUGGGAGUCGCACUCGAAACUCCAGCGCUUGAGUGAAGUAGAGGCAGGCGGAAUUCCUAGUGUAGCGGUGAAAUGCGUAGAUAUUAGGAGGAACACCAGUGGCGAAGGCGGCCUGCUGGGCUUUUACUGACGCUGAGGCUCGAAAGUGUGGGGAGCAAACAGGAUUAGAUACCCGUGUAGUC
This 440-nucleotide ribosomal RNA is filed under the name uncultured bacterium. RNAcentral describes it as "partial 16S ribosomal RNA". It matches the Rfam family "Bacterial small subunit ribosomal RNA", at positions 338 to 795 of the family's 1533-position model. The record is from RNAcentral.